This 91-nucleotide ribosomal RNA is filed under the name Bryonia aspera. Its description in RNAcentral is "partial 25S ribosomal RNA". It matches the Rfam family "Eukaryotic large subunit ribosomal RNA", at positions 1 to 92 of the family's 3401-position model. Lineage: Eukaryota; Viridiplantae; Streptophyta; Magnoliopsida; Cucurbitales; Cucurbitaceae. The record is from RNAcentral.
GACUCCAGGUCAGGCGGGACUACCCGCUGAGUUUAAGCAUAUCAAUAAGCAGAGGAAAAGAAACUUACAAAGAUUCCCCUAGUAACGGCGA